Magnolia sinica is the source of this 370-nucleotide long non-coding RNA. RefSeq lists it as uncharacterized. The transcript has 2 exons. NCBI's taxonomy places the organism in Eukaryota, Viridiplantae, Streptophyta, Magnoliopsida, Magnoliales, Magnoliaceae. The record is from RefSeq and is a predicted model, not a curated record.
UACAUGAAUUUGUCAUGGGGCAUGUAUCGGAUUUGCUUUGUUUACAACAAAAUCCAUGUGUUUUACUGUCAGGGGAGUAUUCGGCCGAUGAUACCUGGGAAUUUGUAGAGCUGCAAGAACAGAUCACUAAAGGCUAUAUAAAUGUCUGGGCUCUUCAUAAGAAAGAUUUUAAUCAAUUGUGCCUAAAUUUAGGCCUACAAGCACUUCAGCCUUUUGACGCCCCUCGUGCUAGGAGUAGACCAUACAGAGGAUUUGUUUUUUUUUUUUUGUUAAAUUUAUUUAUUUAAAUUCAAGACCAUUUUCAAUUUAUUGUAAUAAAUAUUAUAUAUAUUUUUUAUUAUGUAGUACUAUAAAUUUUGUUUAACAUUCA